This 494-nucleotide ribosomal RNA is filed under the name uncultured bacterium. RNAcentral's name for it is "partial 16S ribosomal RNA". It matches the Rfam family "Bacterial small subunit ribosomal RNA", at positions 28 to 507 of the family's 1533-position model. The record is from RNAcentral.
GACGAACGCUGGCGGCGCGCUUAACACAUGCAAGUCGAACGGAAAGGCCUGCUUUCCCUUGUGGAUUGCGGGUACUCGAGUGGCGAACGGGUGAGUAACACGUGAGUGAUCUGCCCCCAACUUGGGUAUAAGCCUGGGAAACUGGGUCUAAUUCCCGAUAGGACUGCAGGGUGGUGCCUGUGGUGGAAAACGAUUUUCUAGUGGUUGGGGAUGAGCUCGCGGCCUAUCAGCUUGUUGGUGGGGUAAUGGCCUACCAAGGCGGCGACGGGUAGCCGGCCUGAGAGGGUGGACGGCCACAUUGGGACUGAGAUACGGCCCAGACCCCUACGGGAGGCAGCAGUGGGGAAUAUUGCACAAUGGGCGGAAGCCUGAUGCAGCGACGCCGCGUGGGGGAUGACGGCCUUCGGGUUGUAAACUCCUUUCGACCGCGAGGAAGCCACCUGGUUGGAAGGGUGGUGACGGUAGUGGUAGAAGAAGCACCGGCUAACUACGUG